This 79-nucleotide non-coding RNA is filed under the name marine eukaryotic metagenome. RNAcentral describes it as "Cyclic di-GMP-I riboswitch". It matches the Rfam family "c-di-GMP-I riboswitch aptamer". Rfam says of the family: GEMM was predicted in a large-scale screen for bacterial structured RNA regulatory elements. The record is from RNAcentral.
UGAACAGGGCAAACCCACCGAAAGGUGGGGGCGCGAGCUACGGGUCUAAAGCCGAGUGCUAUGACGGCCGGGUUGCCAU